Molecule: transfer-messenger RNA, 342 nt
Filed under: Leptospiraceae bacterium
Lineage: Bacteria; Pseudomonadati; Spirochaetota; Leptospiria; Leptospirales; Leptospiraceae
Also listed under: 1 other name
Rfam family: transfer-messenger RNA
About the family: Bacterial tmRNA, also known as 10Sa RNA or SsrA, is named for its dual tRNA and mRNA-like properties. Its role is to liberate the mRNA from a stalled ribosome.
Source: RNAcentral
GGGGGCGUUUUGGCUUCGACUGUUUGGAAGUUUUGAAAGAAAAGCAUGCGAGCUCUUCCCACUCUGACGGGAUAUGGCAUUUAACUGCCGACAAUAACGAUUUCGCUUUGGCUGCAUAAGCCUUUGCCCAACCUAAGCUAAGCAUCCCGUGCUGAAAGUUGGUUAACCUCAGGGAUGAUCGGAGGAUGUCUGCGACAGAUAUUCUCUUAAAUUUAGUCGCUGGAUGCUAUUAGAGGCUGACUAUUGCCGCUAAAAGUAUCGAGAAACAAAUAAUAGUCUGAGCAUGGAGAAAGCUUUCUAGGCGCCGGCAGAACGCGGGUUCAACUCCCGCCGUCUCCAAAU